Molecule: ribosomal RNA, 429 nt
Filed under: Bacteroidota bacterium
Lineage: Bacteria; Pseudomonadati; Bacteroidota
Description: Bacteroidetes bacterium partial 16S ribosomal RNA
Rfam family: Bacterial small subunit ribosomal RNA
Source: RNAcentral
UAGGGAAUCUUCGGCAAUGGGGGGAACCCUGACCGAGCAACGCCGCGUGAGUGAAGAAGGUUUUCGGAUCGUAAAGCUCUGUUGUUAAGGAAGAACGAGUGUGAGAAUGGAAAGUUCAUACUGUGACGGUACUUAACCAGAAAGGGACGGCUAACUACGUGCCAGCAGCCGCGGUAAUACGUAGGUCCCGAGCGUUGUCCGGAUUUAUUGGGCGUAAAGCGAGCGCAGGCGGUUAGAUAAGUCUGAAGUUAAAGGCAGUGGCUCAACCAUUGUAGGCUUUGGUAACUGUUUAACUUGAGUGCAGAAGGGGAGAGUGGAAUUCCAUGUGUAGCGGUGAAAUGCGUAGAUAUAUGGAGGAACACCGGUGGCGAAAGCGGCUCUCUGGUCUGUAACUGACGCUGAGGCUCGAAAGCGUGGGGAGCGAACAGG